This 103-nucleotide small nuclear RNA is filed under the name Neogale vison (American mink). Lineage: Eukaryota; Metazoa; Chordata; Mammalia; Carnivora; Mustelidae. The record is from RNAcentral.
GUGCUCACUUUGGCAGCACAUAUAUUAAAAUUGGAAAAAUACAGAGGUAACAUGUCCCUUUAGCAAGGAUGAUAUGUAAAUUCAUGAAGUUUUCUGUAAAUAA